GGAUCUCUUUAGGAAUCUUUCUCAAAAGAUCACACCACACAAGAAUUAAAUCAGAUGUUCAACACUUGAACAAACUGAUUUUUGGACAAGCAUCACAUGCUUUCCAAUUUCCUUCUCCCUUCCUUUCCAUUUUCUCUCCCUCUUCUCUUAUAUUUUUUUCAGACUUUUUUUUGUCUUUAUCCUCUCAUUCUCAUGCCUAAACCCAACCAAAAAGGGGUGCGAAACUAUGGACUAACACCCCCUAUUUAUAAGGAAUAAGGGGGCAAACCAUGGGAUGCCAACUCUUGGCGUCCCUUAAUUCUUACACGCCACCAAUAAAAUUUUGCAUGGAAUCCC
Molecule: long non-coding RNA, 336 nt
Filed under: Elaeis guineensis (African oil palm)
Lineage: Eukaryota; Viridiplantae; Streptophyta; Magnoliopsida; Arecales; Arecaceae
Description: long non-coding RNA (EGUI_LNC071084)
Source: RNAcentral